This 406-nucleotide ribosomal RNA is filed under the name uncultured bacterium. RNAcentral's name for it is "bacterial SSU rRNA". It matches the Rfam family "Bacterial small subunit ribosomal RNA", at positions 976 to 1381 of the family's 1533-position model. The record is from RNAcentral.
UAGCCUUGACAUUGAUAGAAUACACCAGAGAUGGAGUAGUGCCUUUCGGGGAACUUGAAAACAGGUGCUGCACGGCUGUCGUCAGCUCGUGUCGUGAGAUGUUGGGUUAAGUCCCGCAACGAGCGCAACCCUCGUCCUUAGUUACUAACGGUUCGGCCGAGGACUCUAAGGAGACUGCCUUCGUAAGGAGGAGGAAGGUGAGGACGACGUCAAGUCAUCAUGGCCCUUACGGCUAGGGCAACACACGUGCUACAAUGGUUAGGACAAUGAGAAGCGAUACCGCGAGGUGGAGCAAAUCUAUAAACCUAAUCUCAGUUCGGAUAGCAGUCUGCAACUCGACUGCUUGAAGCUGGAAUCACUAGUAAUCGUAAAUCAGCUAUGUUACGGUGAAUACGUUCCCGGGUCU